RNAcentral lists this ribosomal RNA (301 nucleotides) under uncultured bacterium. RNAcentral's name for it is "partial 16S ribosomal RNA". It matches the Rfam family "Bacterial small subunit ribosomal RNA", at positions 509 to 809 of the family's 1533-position model. The record is from RNAcentral.
CAGUAGCCGCGGGAAUACGAAGGGGGCUAGCGUUGCUCGGAAUGACUGGGCGUAAAGGGCGCGUAGGCGGUUCGUACAGUCGGAUGUGAAAUUCCUGGGCUUAACCUGGGGGCUGCAUUCGAUACGUGCGGGCUUGAGUGUGGAAGAGGGUUGUGGAAUUCCCAGUGUAGAGGUGAAAUUCGUAGAUAUUGGGAAGAACACCGGUGGCGAAGGCGGCAACCUGGUCCAUGACUGACGCUGAGGCGCGAAAGCGUGGGGAGCAAACAGGAUUAGAUACCCCAGUAGUCCCUGUCUCUUAUAA